This 393-nucleotide ribosomal RNA is filed under the name uncultured bacterium. RNAcentral describes it as "partial 16S ribosomal RNA". It matches the Rfam family "Bacterial small subunit ribosomal RNA", at positions 523 to 918 of the family's 1533-position model. The record is from RNAcentral.
AUACGGAGGAUCCGAGCGUUAUCCGGAUUUAUUGGGUUUAAAGGGUGCGUAGGAGGCCUUUUAAGUCAGCGGUGAAAGUCUGUGGCUCAACCAUAGAAUUGCCGUUGAAACUGGGGGGCUUGAGUAUGUUUGAGGCAGGCGGAAUGCGAGGGGUAGCGGGGAAAUGCAUAGAUAUUACACAGAACCCCGAUUGCGAAGGCCGCCUGCCAAGCCAUGACUGACGCUGAUGCACGAAAGCGUGGGGAUCAAACAGGAUUAGAUACCCUGGUAGUCCACGCAGUAAACGAUGAUCACUAGCUGUUUGCGAUACACUGUAAGCGGCACAGCGAAAGCGUUAAGUGAUCCACCUGGGGAGUACGCCGGCAACGGUGAAACUCAAAGGAAUUGACGGGG